GGGCAAUAGGCGUCUAUGCUACCAUGAUGAAGACCGACGCCUCUCACAAGGAGCUCUUUUUCUACCGUGGCUUGAUGACGAAGUUGUUCGAGUCGUAACUGAUUCUGUCUCUUCCACUUCGUUCUGGAACAAAUAAGCAAGUUGAGCAUGUGUGAAAGCCGUUCGUCUUCUUCGUGGCUUUCUUCCACUAGGUGGACCACUAGGAGUUCCACAAGAUUUACCGGACGUUGCCGGACCUGGUGGAGGCGAGAGAACAGGUGGUGGACUUCCUAGUCGAGUACAAGGACUACUGCCAGGGUCGAUUGUAUCUUCGGAAUCCGAAUGAACGGCCGAAUCAUCUUCGGAAUCUUCUAUUUGACUCAACGGUGAAAGCCUAUUAUCGACACAAUGCCAAACGAACGGAAAUCGAUUUACUAUCGUCCCUAGUUCAUGGUAAACGAUCUCAAUCAAGAUCCUGUGGUGUCGUGCAACGAUUGACCAAUAAAACUGGGAAGCGCUGCGGGACAGAGUAAGCGACGGCAAAAAUUUGUGGACUAACGAAUCCUAACGAGUCACUUCGCACCUAAAACCAUCUGUAGGAUCACCCCUAACAGGGCGACACCCUGUAGGGUGGAUCGUCGUUCCUCGGACCCCGAAUAGUGGAUAAAAAUAAUAGAAGAGUCCUUAGGGGGUAUCUUUUAACGAGAAUCCCGACGGUAGUGCACGCGACCGACUCGUGUUUCGCAUAUAAAACACUAAUAAUCUAUCAAAAUUCAUUUUUUUAUUGAUUGUGAAAUCUUUAAAAAGUCUUCGAUCGUUCGAGAAGUCGAUGUAAGUUGAACAAAAUUUCCUAUCGAACUAAUACUUUUAUCUAUAUCAUCUUGAUUAACAAGUCAUAUUUUUAUAUUUUUUUAGAUCACCUACCUUGAACUCUGUCUGCCAGAACGUCGCCCAAAAGAUCUCUUAUCAAAAAGGACUUGUGUUCUUGCAUCAUCGUCACUGAAGAAUCGACGCAAACCAGUUUUGAAAACUAAACAAGAUCACUCGAGCAGUAACUCAAAUUGCGAUGAUAUCGUAACGAAGUUGAUUUAUUUACAUCGACCUCGAGAAAGGAUAACGUUAGCAGUACCAAAUGUAGGAGAGAUAGAUAUGCAUCAUAUUUACAUAAAUACAUCCCUCGCUGUUUGGAGUUUCCUACCGUACCUCCCCUUGCCCUUUGGAGGGGUAGUUUGUGAGCGUAAAUAUGCAUGAUGCAUGCACUCACAAAUCCUCAAACCGCCUACUUUCUCAGCCGCCUCCAUGCUUCCACUAUUUCUCUCGCGGCCCUGGGCUCAACAGCACCCUGUUAGUCUAUUCACUGCACUACACUACUUAGCUUUUGUAAGCACCUACACAUAGGAUAUAUCUACAUAGAUUUGUUUUCGUAUAUGUAUUUUAUAUUUUACGAAAUCGCAUUCAGUAGAAACGAUAAAAUACGAAAAUAUGACGAUAAAAUCAACGAUGCGUAUAUACACAUAUAUAUCUCGAACUUAUCGAUUAUUUAACCGUAUUGACGUACUCUACUUGCUUGUUACUGUAUCACAUAUAUACGUUUUUAUUAGAAUUUUUAUCUCUUCGCGCGUAAAAAAGAUCUUUCUUUCUAAAGUCAAAUCUUCCUCAAAAGUAUUUGUUUUAAUUAUUCUUUAUAUGACAUUAUUAUACCAUAUCGACACCUGUAAAGUCCUCCUUAUGAUGUCGAGCAGUGAACGCGAUGGAUCGGAACGCCUUUCUGAAUUCAUUAGGAUUAACGUAUGCAGGAGAUUAAUUCAAGGGGCGGCAAAGCGGCUAGGCGUCUUCUUACCGGGCGCAGAAAAGGGCGCCGAGAACACUGAAAAGAGGGGAAUAAAUGAGUGAUAGAAGACGGAACAAGAAAUCAAUGUAUAUCUCGGUUGAAUCAGGUCAUCUAAUGGCACCUAAUACAGUAUCGCACCCUUAAAUUGGAUAUUUUGCGAGGGGAAGAUUCGUGUAUGUGAAACUCGUUUUAUUAUCGCAUCUGUCGUGAUCCGAACGAAGCUAAAUUGAUGGAAGUAAGAAAAGAGGAGAAUCACCAUCGUGCAAAAAAGAAACGAUGCAGAAUUUUUAAUUUAUCUUGGCAAAAAAUGUGGAACGCUUCACGAUUUUGCGUGUCAUCCUUGCGCAGGGGCCAUGCUAAUCUUCUCUGUAUCGUUCCAAUUUUAGUAUAUGUACUGCCGAAGCAAGUACAACAGGAUAGAUCAGGAAGAGUAAUAUAUAGAAAUCUACUCCAUAUAUAGUGUUUGCGAGAAAACUUAUAUACUUGUAAUGUAUAGUAUUCUUAAGCGCCAUCUAGUGAAAGAUUUGCGUAAUACUUGCAAGUUUAGCUAGAAAAUUCUUGUAAGUAUAGAUUGCAGAUACAUUUUUAUUAAUAAUCUUUGAUAAGAAAUAAUACACUU
Molecule: long non-coding RNA, 2429 nt
Organism: Vespula pensylvanica (western yellowjacket)
Lineage: Eukaryota; Metazoa; Arthropoda; Insecta; Hymenoptera; Vespidae
Exons: 6
Source: RefSeq, a predicted model, not a curated record